AAGCUCGUAGUUGAAUUUCGGCAUCAGUAGGUCGGUCAUGCCUAUGGUAUGUACUGGCUUUACUGGUUCCUCCUUCUUGAUGAUCUGUAAUGUCAUUAAUUUGGUGUUGCAGGGAGUCAGGACUGUUACUUUGAAAAAAUUAGAGUGUUUAAAGCAGGCAUACGCUUGAAUACAUUAGCAUGGAAUAAUGAAAUAGGACGUUCGAUCCUAUUUUGUUGGUUUCUAGGAUUGACGUAAUGAUUGAUAGGGAUAGUUGGGGGCAUUANUAUUCNAUUGUCAAANGUGAAAUUCUUGGAUUUAUUGAAGACUAACUACUGCGAAAGCAUUUGCCAAGGAUGUUUUCAUUAAUCAAGAACGAAAGUUAGGGGAUCGACGACGAUCAGAUACCGUCGUAGUCUUAACCAUAAACUAUGCCGACUAGGGAUCGGAUGAUGUUAUUUUUAAUGACUCAUUCGGCGCCUUACGGAAAACCAAUGUGUUUGGGUUCCGGGGGGAGUAUGGUCGCAAGGCUGAAACUUAAUAGAAUUGAAGGAAAGGCACCACCGGGGUGGAGCCUGAGCCUUAAUUUGACUCAACACGGGGAAA
RNAcentral lists this ribosomal RNA (585 nucleotides) under uncultured Glomus. RNAcentral's name for it is "SSU rRNA". It matches the Rfam family "Eukaryotic small subunit ribosomal RNA", at positions 624 to 1213 of the family's 1831-position model. The record is from RNAcentral. Lineage: Eukaryota; Fungi; Glomeromycota; Glomeromycetes; Glomerales; Glomeraceae.